UACGGAGGGGGCUAGCGUUGUUCGGAAUUACUGGGCGUAAAGCGUACGUAGGCGGCUUUGUAAGUUAGAGGUGAAAGCCCGGGGCUCAACUCCGGAAUUGCCUUUAAGACUGCAUCGCUAGAAUCAUGGAGAGGUGAGUGGAAUUCCGAGUGUAGAGGUGAAAUUCGUAGAUAUUCGGAGGAACACCAGUGGCGAAGGCGACUCACUGGACAUGUAUUGACGCUGAGGUACGAAAGCGUGGGGAGCAAACAGG
This 253-nucleotide ribosomal RNA is filed under the name uncultured bacterium. RNAcentral's name for it is "partial 16S ribosomal RNA". It matches the Rfam family "Bacterial small subunit ribosomal RNA", at positions 524 to 776 of the family's 1533-position model. The record is from RNAcentral.